AAACUGCAGCAGCUCAGGAGCUAAUCCAGGAGCAGCUCACAUCUCCGCUAUAGCAGGGAGAAGACAGUCGACCAUGGCACAGCACCCUGCCCCAAGCCAAGCCACGAGAGAACCAGAGCCCUGUGUGUACAAGCCUAUCACUGGUCUCUUUUUAGGUGACUGCCAGAACGCGAGACUUGGCUGCAUCCCAAGUGGAGAAGAAAGUUAUACUCCACAGCCUUGGAGGGAGAAUCAUAGCAAGGGAACAGCUGUAAACAGGUCCUUGUACAAAUCAUUUUAGUGGCUUGUUUAGGUCAAGACACUGUUAUACAGGGAGAAACUGAGGCAUAGAAAUGCUACAAAAGUUAGAUGAAAUCAGAACGAGGUCCAGAAACUAAACUAGGAGGCCAGUCCUGGACUUUCAGAAUGUGCCAGGAAAGCAAAGGAAGUGCGGGCCAACAAAAGAAAGAGAAAAAAUGCUUUCUACCAGAAACAGAACUUUUGUCAUACUGCCUUUUUAAUACACUGGCAAACUUGGGAAGAAAAAAAAAAUGCUGGUGAUUGUUCCCUUCUCCAACUUUACUUAAGAGCCCAGGGCACUUACUUGAAGAUCAGUGUCUAUAUUUUUUUCCCAAUCUGAAGGAAGCUGAACCAACAUUUCUAACCCGCAGCGCCAGUCUCUCACCAGUGCACAGGAGGUUGUCCUUUCAUGGAAGCACGCUCAUUGCCAUCUUUUGAAUUUUUUUUUUUUUUUUACUUCAUAUGAAAUGAUUCAAGUUCCUUAUUUCCAGAGACCAGAACCUACAUCCCUGUUGCAGAUGCAAUGAGCAGGCUUUUGCUUCACUCCAGUUCUAAUUCUCCAGUUAAUACAGUGAACUUUUAAAUAAGCCUCUGCAAAAGUGGUUGAGAGAACCUCCCCUGAGCAUAUCUCACUGGCCAGGAUGCUCUCCUGGGAUGUGACUGUUGUGUUGAGGAAACUUGACCUUGAGUCAUCUGUAGAUCAAGAAAAUAACUCAAGGAAGAAAGAGUUACACUCAUUCUCUUUUUUUGAGGAGACUAUCUAAUAAGAUACUCAUCUGCAUGUCAUAAAUCAGCAAAAGCAAUAGAAGAAAUGGUGUGGUUUAUGUGUCAUUGGUAAUGAGUCCCUUGUCAAUGAAGACAGCUCUAGAAUAGAGGUGGUUGGGUCAGGAUCUCUAAGAUCACAAAUGAUAGAGCAGGGCUAUACAUGAUAAACAUCUGUUGUCAUACUGCCAUACUGCCACUCACAGUUGCUGAUUUCCUCUUCCUCUUCUUUGUAAAACAUGUAAUUUAUUUCCAUUGGUCCUUGAUGAAAGACAGUAAAGGAGCCUUCGUUGCUGAGUAUGGGCAAGCAUAUAGAUAAGGGCGGGAAACUGCCUAAAUCAAUUUUCAGUGUGUUUUAUCUAAUUUUCCUAUGGAAGUAUCCAAAGAAUUCACUUGUAUGAAUAUUGACAGAGCAGCACACUAUGCACAGCUUUUUCUGUGUAAAGCCAUUUCUCUCUAAUAAGAGAAAAUGCUCACUUUUAGACUUGUAGGAUAUAGGCAGCUUAAAAGUUUGUUUUAAUCAGGCUUAUAUUUGUAGUUUAAGAAGACAAUGCUUUUUUUGGUCUCAUAUGUGUGAAUAAUAAAGCAUACAAAAUUACAGUCCCA
This 1647-nucleotide long non-coding RNA is filed under the name Apteryx rowi (Okarito brown kiwi). RNAcentral's name for it is "lncRNA (ENSARWG00000016559.1)". The record is from RNAcentral. Lineage: Eukaryota; Metazoa; Chordata; Aves; Apterygiformes; Apterygidae.